UGUGCAAAGUAAAUGGUGUAGAAUCUCUCAGGAGAUGAACAUUCAGAGCUUAUGUGAGCAUUCGUUACACGGCAGAGGUAAAGGUACAACAUCGAUGUACUUCCUACAGAACACAAGAAAGUUUUGCUACAACACAGGAAAUAUCUGAAUGACAACAGACCUGGCUUAGACUUGGGAAGAGAGCAUGCAGCAUGAGUCUGAAACCUUCUUUCUACACACACAUGAACUAAAGAGAAUGCCUCUAAGCAUGGAUGUUGAUACUGCUUACGAUGACAAAGUGUUAAGCAGCCUUGGCAGCGAUGGCAGUGGAAACCUGACUUCUCCCAUCACAGCUCCUUGGCAGUGGAAACCUGACUUCUCCCGUCACAGCUCCUCCAGAACCAUGUGUAUUCCUGUCCACUGCCUCCUGCGGUGGGAGCCGGUGUUUGCCGCAUGCCUAGGUAGAGUGCUGGCUGAUGGGUGCACCUGAUGUUGGAGGGGGAGAAGAGGCUGUAGCUCCAGGUAGGAUGACUUUUUGUAGGACUGGUCUUUACCCAGACCCUUGUGAGGGGUCAAACACUGAGGCUAAAGACCAAGCCUCUUCCUGCUCCGUGAAGCCUCACGGCAAGCACGGCCAGCCAGCAGGCAGGGCUAACCCUGCAGGGACGCGCCGUCCUGGGCAGCAGGGACUCCAGCGCGGUGUCUGCUCAGCUUUGAAAUACAGGCCCAGCGAAGUGAAAGCACGAGAGGCGUGUGAAAGGCAAAGGUCUUGUGCUGCCUUUGCCAGACAGCAUUUCUUAAGUGGCACCAUGGCAGGGCUGAGUGGGAUGAUGGUUUGCUGAAGACUGCAAGAAAGCCGCAGAAUGCCUAGCGUUAGGCUAAAAGAGAAAGAGGAGUGCUACAGGGAAGUGGUUGGAACUGGA
Egretta garzetta (little egret) is the source of this 902-nucleotide long non-coding RNA. RefSeq lists it as uncharacterized. The record is from RefSeq and is a predicted model, not a curated record. NCBI's taxonomy places the organism in Eukaryota, Metazoa, Chordata, Aves, Pelecaniformes, Ardeidae. The transcript is spliced from 3 exons.